UCAGCCGGGGCACUGUGUUAUUUUUCUCGCGUGGUGAAUCCCCCUGUGCGGAGGGGCUAAACAGCACGUGUAGCUUAGGCAAUCAGUAGCGGGUCAAGGUGGCUGACCAACGACUCACCGGGAGGCACCCGGCACCACAUAUACGUUAAAGCUUGUAUCUCGCUGAAUUUAUUAGG
RNAcentral lists this small RNA (176 nucleotides) under Enterobacter hormaechei. Its description in RNAcentral is "STnc100". It matches the Rfam family "Gammaproteobacterial sRNA STnc100". RNAcentral also lists the same sequence under 1 other name. The record is from RNAcentral. Lineage: Bacteria; Pseudomonadati; Pseudomonadota; Gammaproteobacteria; Enterobacterales; Enterobacteriaceae.